UGGGGAAUAUUGCACAAUGGAGGGAACUCUGAUGCAGCGACGCCGCGUGAACGAAGAAGGCUUUCGAGUCGUAAAGUUCUUCUAGAUGGGAAGAUAAUGACGGUACCAUAAGAAAAAGCCCCGGCUAACUACGUGCCAGCAGCCGCGGUAAUACGUAGGGGGCUAGCGUUGUCCGGAAUCACUGGGCGUAAAGGGUUCGCAGGCGGAAAUGCAAGUCAGGUGUAAAAGGCAGUAGCUUAACUACUGUAAGCAUUUGAAACUGCAUAUCUUGAGAAGAGUAGAGGUAAGUGGAAUUUCUAGUGUAGCGGUGAAAUGCGUAGAUAUUAAAAAGAAUACCGGUGGCGAAGGCGACUUACUGGGCUCAUUCUGACGCUGAGGAACGAAAGCGUGGGUAGCAAACAGG
RNAcentral lists this ribosomal RNA (403 nucleotides) under Fusobacteriota bacterium. RNAcentral's name for it is "Fusobacteria bacterium partial 16S ribosomal RNA". It matches the Rfam family "Bacterial small subunit ribosomal RNA", at positions 355 to 776 of the family's 1533-position model. The record is from RNAcentral. Lineage: Bacteria; Fusobacteriati; Fusobacteriota.